CAGUAGCCGCGGUAAUACGGAGGGAGCUAGCGUUAUUCGGAAUUACUGGGCGUAAAGCGCACGUAGGCGGCUUUGUAAGUAAGAGGUGAAAGCCCAGAGCUCAACUCUGGAAUUGCCUUUUAGACUGCAUCGCUUGAAUCAUGGAGAGGUCAGUGGAAUUCCGAGUGUAGAGGUGAAAUUCGUAGAUAUUCGGAAGAACGCCAGUGGCGAAGGCGGCUGACUGGACAUGUAUUGACGCUGAGGUGCGAAAGCGUGGGGAGCAAACAGGAUUAGAUACCCCUGUAGUCCCUGUCUCUUAUAC
This 301-nucleotide ribosomal RNA is filed under the name uncultured bacterium. RNAcentral describes it as "partial 16S ribosomal RNA". It matches the Rfam family "Bacterial small subunit ribosomal RNA", at positions 509 to 807 of the family's 1533-position model. The record is from RNAcentral.